CCCACAUAUCUGAUUAUACCAAAUGAGGUGAAUGGGGUCUGUUCUAUAGCCCAGACUCUGCUAGUCUCUCUAGUGUUCUAUGAGGUUCUCUUGCUAAUCUCUCUGGUGUUCUAUGAGGUUCUCUGGCUAAUCUCUCUGGUGUUCUAUGAGGUUCUCUGGCUAAUCUCUCUGGUGCUCUAUGAGGUUAUCCGGCUAAUCUCUCUGGUGUUCUAUGAGGUUCUCUGGCUAAUCUCUCUGGUGUGCUAUGAGGUUCUGCUUGCUGAUGGCUGUCCGCUCAAUUUCUCACUCUUCGCAGCCCCUCUGAAUGGAGUCAUUUAAGCCUUGGACAUGGGACCCAGCCAAGCCAAACAAUCUCAUUAUACAUGCUUCGCAGCUCC
This is a long non-coding RNA of Clupea harengus (Atlantic herring), 377 nucleotides long. The record is from Ensembl. NCBI's taxonomy places the organism in Eukaryota, Metazoa, Chordata, Actinopteri, Clupeiformes, Clupeidae.